RNAcentral lists this ribosomal RNA (633 nucleotides) under uncultured Thermacetogenium sp. Its description in RNAcentral is "bacterial SSU rRNA". It matches the Rfam family "Bacterial small subunit ribosomal RNA", at positions 56 to 692 of the family's 1533-position model. Lineage: Bacteria; Bacillati; Bacillota; Clostridia; Thermoanaerobacterales; Thermoanaerobacteraceae. The record is from RNAcentral.
UGCAGUCGAACGGGGUUUGCAAAGAAGCUUGCUUUUUUGUAAACCUAGUGGCGGACGGGUGAGUAACGCGUGGAUAACCUGCCUGUAAGACUGGGAUAACACCGGGAAACCGGUGCUAAUACCGGGCGUGCUGUAGAAUGGGCAUCCAUUUUACAGGGAAGGGUUUAAACCUGCUUACAGAUGGGUCCGCGUCCCAUUAGCCAGCUGGUGGGGUAAAGGCCUACCAGGGCGACGAUGGGUAGCCGGCCUGAGAGGGUGGUCGGCCACACUGGGACUGAGACACGGCCCAGACUCCUACGGGAGGCAGCAGUGGGGAAUAUUGCGCAAUGGGCGGAAGCCUGACGCAGCGACGCCGCGUGGGUGACGAAGGCCUUCGGGUCGUAAAACCCUGUUGCAGGGGACGAAGGAAGUGACGGUACCCUGUGAGGAAGCCCCGGCUAACUACGUGCCAGCAGCCGCGGUAAAACGUAGGGGGCGAGCGUUGUCCGGAAUUACUGGGCGUAAAGAGCUCGUAGGCGGUAGCUCAAGUCAGCUGUGAAAACCGACGGCUUAACCGGAGGAUUGCAGUUGAUACUGGGUUACUUGAGGCAAGGAGAGGAAGGUGGAAUUCCCGGUGUAGCGGUGAAAUGCGUA